Molecule: ribosomal RNA, 497 nt
Filed under: uncultured bacterium
Lineage: Bacteria
Description: partial 16S ribosomal RNA
Rfam family: Bacterial small subunit ribosomal RNA
Source: RNAcentral
GAUGAACGCUGACGGCGUGCCUAAUACAUGCAAGUCGAGCGAACGGACGAGAAGCUUGCUUCUCUGAUGUUAGCGGCGGACGGGUGAGUAACACGUGGAUAACCUACCUAUAAGACUGGGAUAACUUCGGGAAACCGGAGCUAAUACCGGAUAAUAUUUUGAACCGCAUGGUUCAAAAGUGAAAGACGGUCUUGCUGUCACUUAUAGAUGGAUCCGCGCUGCAUUAGCUAGUUGGUAAGGUAACGGCUUACCAAGGCAACGAUGCAUAGCCGACCUGAGAGGGUGAUCGGCCACACUGGAACUGAGACACGGUCCAGACUCCUACGGGAGGCAGCAGUAGGGAAUCUUCCGCAAUGGGCGAAAGCCUGACGGAGCAACGCCGCGUGAGUGAUGAAGGUCUUCGGAUCGUAAAACUCUGUUAUUAGGGAAGAACAUAUGUGUAAGUAACUGUGCACAUCUUGACGGUGCCUAAUCAGAAAGCCACGGCUAACUACGUG